RNAcentral lists this ribosomal RNA (253 nucleotides) under uncultured bacterium. Its description in RNAcentral is "partial 16S ribosomal RNA". It matches the Rfam family "Bacterial small subunit ribosomal RNA", at positions 524 to 776 of the family's 1533-position model. The record is from RNAcentral.
UACGUAGGGGGCAAGCGUUAUCCGGAUUUACUGGGUGUAAAGGGAGCGUAGGCGGUCUGACAAGUCAGAAGUGAAAGCCCGGGGCUCAACCUCGGGACUGCUUUUGAAACUGCCGGACUAGAUUGCAGGAGAGGUAAGUGGAAUUCCUAGUGUAGCGGUGAAAUGCGUAGAUAUUAGGAGGAACACCAGUGGCGAAGGCGGCUUACUGGACCGGAACUGACGCUGAGGCACGAAAGCGUGGGGAGCAAACAGG